CAGGAGUCGGAUGCUUAACCGACUGAGCCACCCAGGCACCCCUAAACAGACAUUUCUCCAGAGAAGAUAUACAGGGCCAGUAACAUUAAAUGAUGCUCGGCAUCAUUAGUCGUUAGGGAAAUUUAAAUCAAAACCACAAUGAGGUGCCACUUCACACCCACCAGGAUGGCUGUCAAGAAAAAGACAGAAAAUGACAAGCGUAAGGAUGCAGAGAGUUGGAACCCUCACACAUUGCUUGUGGGACAUACAAAAUGGUGCAGCUGCUUGGAAAACAGUUUGGCAGUUAAUCAAAAAGUUAAGCAUAGAAUUAGGAUCUGAUGAGUAAUUCAAGAGAAUCGAAAACAGAUGUUCAAACAAAAACUUACACACAUGUUCUUCGCACCAUUAUUCUCAAUAGCCAAAGGGUGGAAACGGUGCAAAUGUCCACCAGCUCAUGAAUGUAUAAACAAAAUGUGGUACAUUUAUGCAAUGGAAUAUUACUCAGCCAUAACAGAACAAAGUCCCGGUACACUCUACAAGCUGGAUUAAACUUGAAGACAUUAUGCUGAACAUGUUGGUUAUUGCUGAUAUGGAAACAUGCUACGAAUUCUUAUAGGAUGAAAUCCAAAUCUUGAAGGUUGCCCACCAGGCCCUCUGCCCGCCUCUCCUGCCUUCCUUCCCUCUGGGCCGGGACAGCCCUGGCUUCCAUGUGACUCCCUGUGAUGCGAGGUGGAGCUGCUAUUCUCCUGAAUACCUUCCCACAUCUCUGGAACGUUCUUCUCACCAAGCCUCACCUUCCUUGGGUCUCAGUUUGAACGUCCUUCUCCAGAGCAGCUUUCUCUGACCUAAUCCUGGGUGCCAUCUCCCUCUGUCCUCUCCUACAGCUACCUGUGCUUUAUAACCUGCAGGCUCCAUCUGGAAUAUGUUAGGUGUGUGAUAAUUGACUGUUGUUGGCUCCAUUCGCCGGAAUACAAGCUCCCUGAGAGCAGAGACAGAUACGGCUCUUUGUUUGCUCUGAACCCAGCACUAGCACAACACCUGACAUGCGGCAGGUUCUGAGUACAUCUUCAUUAAAGGGGUCAAAGGAGCAGAGGUGAAAGUUUUACUCUCCCAAUUUUUAAAGGGGGUACGGCAGAGGGCUGAAAUGUCAAGGGCCUUGCCUGCUGUCACCCAGCGAGUCAGUGGAGCUCUGGGAUCCCACCCCAGGUCUGUAGACCCUGCAGAGGGCACCCCCCCACCAUCCCUACUGAGGUCUCGUGCCGUACCCAAAGUCCCUGGGUGAACAAGGUAGACACUGGAUUCACAGCCUGGCUUCUCCAUCUGUUCUUUCUGCUACAACAAACUACAGCACGCGCACUUUGGUUGGGUACCUACUAAGUGCCAGGGACCGUGCUGGAAGCUGGGGAAGCAGAGUGAAGCAGCAGACACAUUCCCACACUCCUGGUGCCCACAUCACUUUGGGAGGAGGAGGAAACAAACAGAAAAGUCCAGUAAUAAUUAUGAAUCCUGAUAUCAGCCGCAGAAACUUAGCAAAGUGUCCUAGGCGCCAUCCAUAGAAGUCCCUGCCUCCGGGCAUUUGGGAAGUUUCUUCCACCCCCAGCCUGUCCCUGAGGCCUCCCUGGCUGGCUAAUGCUGGCUCCUUUCCCAAGGCCGUCCCCUCUGCCGCAAGUGCUCCCGUCAGGCCACCACCAGGGGGCAGCUGUGCUCCGUCUCAGCCCGUUCCCUUGCCAGCCCAGCAAGGGCCUCUUUCCACCAGAAUCUCCGACUUGGAGGGCGGGGAGAGGAGAUGCAGGUGAGAAGCAGAAGAGGGGAGAGAAGGGCACUAACAGGUGCCCUGGGCUCCACAGCGAGGGUGUCUUAGGGAAUCAGCUCUGCCCAGACAUAGGGAAGAGUUUCUCAGUUGAUU
Long non-coding RNA from Prionailurus viverrinus (fishing cat), 1885 nucleotides. RefSeq lists it as uncharacterized. The record is from RefSeq and is a predicted model, not a curated record. The transcript has 3 exons. Lineage: Eukaryota; Metazoa; Chordata; Mammalia; Carnivora; Felidae.